This 235-nucleotide unclassified non-coding RNA is filed under the name Hevea brasiliensis (rubber tree). Lineage: Eukaryota; Viridiplantae; Streptophyta; Magnoliopsida; Malpighiales; Euphorbiaceae. The record is from RNAcentral.
UGAAGAAUCAAAAACUUUAUUGGACCAACACAACACAUUUUCUUCUUGGUCAAUAUCAAUAAUGGUGAAUUACACAAAAGUGAAGAGAGCAUCUUCACAUUCUCUUUCAUAUCCAUAGAAAUGCAUGGACAAAUAAAAUCUACAAAAAUAAUAGGAAUUAAAGAGUUAAAAAGCUUCAAUCUUCUUCAUUUCCCUGCCAUGAUUUUCUCCAAUUUCCAAUAUUAUCUCCAUGGCU